RNAcentral lists this ribosomal RNA (478 nucleotides) under Metschnikowia aff. fructicola sp. 1 NS-2016. Its description in RNAcentral is "eukaryotic LSU rRNA". It matches the Rfam family "Eukaryotic large subunit ribosomal RNA", at positions 103 to 668 of the family's 3401-position model. Lineage: Eukaryota; Fungi; Ascomycota; Pichiomycetes; Serinales; Metschnikowiaceae. The record is from RNAcentral.
AAAAGCUCAAAUUUGAAAUCCCCCGGGAAUUGUAAUUUGAAGAGAUUUGGGUCCGGCCGGCGGGGGUUAAGUCCACUGGAAAGUGGCGCCACAGAGGGUGACAGCCCCGUGAACCCCCUUAACGCCCUCAUCCCAGAUCUCCAAGAGUCGAGUUGUUUGGGAAUGCAGCUCUAAGUGGGUGGUAAAUUCCAUCUAAAGCUAAAUACCGGCGAGAGACCGAUAGCGAACAAGUACAGUGAUGGAAAGAUGAAAAGCACUUUGAAAAGAGAGUGAAAAAGUACGUGAAAUUGUUGAAAGGGAAGGGCUUGCAAGCAGACACUUAACUGGGCCAGCAUCGGGGCGGCGGGAAACAAAACCACCGGGGAAUGUACCUUUCGAGGAUUAUAACCCCGGUCCUUAUUUCCUUGUUGCCCCGAGGCCUGCAAUCUAAGGAUGCUGGCGUAAUGGUUGCAAGUCGCCCGUCUUGAAACACGGACCA